CCUACGGGGGGCUGCAGUGGGGAAUAUUGGACAAUGGGCGCAAGCCUGAUCCAGCCACGCCGCGUGAGUGAUGAAGGCCUUCGGGUCGUAAAGCUCUGUGGGGAGGGACGAACCGCUGCCGGUUAAUACCCGGCAGCAUGACGGUACCUCCUUAGCAAGCACCGGCUAACUUCGUGCCAGCAGCCGCGGUAAUACGAAGGGUGCAAACGUUGCUCGGAAUUAUUGGGCGUAAAGCGCACGUAGGCGGCUUAGCAAGUUGGAUGUGAAAGCCCUCG
Molecule: ribosomal RNA, 275 nt
Filed under: uncultured bacterium
Lineage: Bacteria
Description: partial 16S ribosomal RNA
Rfam family: Bacterial small subunit ribosomal RNA
Source: RNAcentral